GCCUGGUGGUUCACAUCUAGCUGGAGCUCCAGCUAGUGGGCAGGGAGACAUAGUGCUGCUCCCAGCAGCCACGCUGCAGCUCCAUGCCCACUGGGAAAACACCUAGAAAGACAGCUGGGCCUUCAAGCCAGAGGCAACAAGAGGCUCCAAAAAUCAACUGCAAGGAGGUGGCAGCCCUAAGUAGACACCUGCUGGAAUUCUGGAAUUCAGGAUGUCCAGGUUCCCUACUACCUCUGGUGACUCACAGGACUGGAAGCCCAGAACCUCUAUGUGGAAUCCUAGACCACCACAGCUUUGGGAUCUGCCCAGGCUUGGAAGGGCUGCCAGCUUCACAGCUAUUGGACAGACCACGAUCCAGUCGGCUGAUGACCCCUUCAGACACACCCUAGGCCCUCACCAGGCUCUGGCGGUGAGUUCUGGCACCUACAUGCUUGUGCGCCACGGGGGGACACGCAGAGUCUGCACCCGGGAGCAGCCGCCCGCAGGAGGCACACAAGCCACACGUGGAGCCCACUGAUCAGCUAGAAGAGAUUUUUUAUU
Long non-coding RNA from Homo sapiens (human), 540 nucleotides. Ensembl annotates it as NOP53 antisense RNA 1. Its record names the gene NOP53-AS1. The record is from Ensembl. Lineage: Eukaryota; Metazoa; Chordata; Mammalia; Primates; Hominidae.